RNAcentral lists this long non-coding RNA (1132 nucleotides) under Calidris pugnax (ruff). RNAcentral describes it as "lncRNA (ENSCPUG00000017811.1)". The record is from RNAcentral. Lineage: Eukaryota; Metazoa; Chordata; Aves; Charadriiformes; Scolopacidae.
GGCACUAGUGGAGCUGUCAGUGCACAAAUGAUUGAUUUUUAUGUAGACAUACCUGUGGGAGACUGGUUAGCUGAGAAGGGUCAGCUAGUCCAGCAAGAGCUUAAUAAGCACCGUAUUCAGCUUAUCUAGCUCCCAAUAACUGCAAGGCCUUGAAGUUGUUCUUCUGGCCUUGAAGGCAGCUGUGGUCCAACAACAGAAUGUCUGUGAUAAGGUAAACAUGUAACUGUAAGAAAGGAAUUUCGGGCGGAACUGUCUUUUUAGAACUAACCAAUAAUGAGCUCUCAUUUUGCAAUAUGUAUGAGCUAAUUAUGAGUGUGCAUAAAAGAAUGGUAGUGUGUCUAAAUAAACGGAAGCUUGCUGGUCACUCAUAUUGAGUGCUCAUGUCUUCCCUCCGUCGCAACAAAUGGCGCCCAACGUGGGGCCAGGACCCUAUACAGGGUGGAACCUGUGAACAGGGACCCUGUACAGGGCUGAACCUGCGAGCCACGGUUUGGCGGAGCCCGGGUACCGGUCCUGUAAGCAGCGCAGGAGGCGAAAGGGACGAAUCCCCGCGCCCAGGAGCACCUAUAGAGGGUCCUGUGAAGGCGAAAGGGAAAUCCCCGCGCUCGGGAGCACCUAUAGAGGGUCCCGCCGGCCACGCGUCGCCGAAGUCUUGCAAAGGCUGCAACAGCGCUGACGAAGGUACCAUUUGGGUUCCCAGCCGAUGGGUGAGGCCUGCUGUCAAACACACUGACAGCCACAGCCACGCCUAAGGACGACGAGGGACUCCACAGAAGGACACUACUUCGUCUGUAUCUGACUAUAGAUCCGGUGGUGCAACCAUGUGUGCAUCUCUUUCACUCAUUUCUAAGAUGGACAUUCUUUAGCUAAUUCGCCUUGUUAGUAACAGCUGUGGUUAAAGUUAUGGUGUGCUGUGUUCUUUGGUCUAGAUGCUCUGAGAAGCUGGAUGGGAUUAAGUGGAUGGCUUAAAGGUGUGUUACAAACAGGAUUGUUGAUCUUAAUCAUAAUAGUGAUAGUAUUACUUUGCUUGAGCUGUGUGUUUUCUUGUAUCAAAACUCUUUUAAUGAGAAUUAUUAAUCAAACUUAUAUCGCCCAAAAUAAAAACGGGGGAAUUGUGGGAGACUGGCUAGCU